GGGGAUGUGGCUCAGCGGUAGAGCACUUGUUUAGCAUGUAUAAGACCCUGGGUUCAAUCCCCAGUGCCCCCA
Molecule: transfer RNA, 72 nt
Filed under: Fukomys damarensis (Damara mole-rat)
Lineage: Eukaryota; Metazoa; Chordata; Mammalia; Rodentia; Bathyergidae
Rfam family: tRNA
About the family: Transfer RNA (tRNA) molecules are approximately 80 nucleotides in length. Their secondary structure includes four short double-helical elements and three loops (D, anti-codon, and T loops). Further hydrogen bonds mediate the characteristic L-shaped molecular structure. tRNAs have two regions of fundamental functional importance: the anti-codon, which is responsible for specific mRNA codon recognition, and the 3' end, to which the tRNAs corresponding amino acid is attached (by aminoacyl-tRNA synthetases). tRNAs cope with the degeneracy of the genetic code in two manners: having more than one tRNA (with a specific anti-codon) for a particular amino acid; and 'wobble' base-pairing, i.e. permitting non-standard base-pairing at the 3rd anti-codon position.
Source: Rfam by way of RNAcentral